UUCUGGGUGGCAGCACUUCACAGAGGGAGACGGAGCAGCAGCCUUGAGCCCCUGGCUUGUUUGGGGGGCGGGGGGCGGCGGGGGGCGGACUGACUCACUUGGACCCCUCCCCCGGGGCCGAUGGGGCAGCCCCCACACCCAUGGGCGCUGGCACCCGGUCGGGCCCCCGGGGUUUGGGGAAAGGAAGCCGCAGCCCCGCGGCGCCUGGCCCGAGCUGGCUGAGAUGCGCUCUGUGUGCGCGGACCCGCUGGCCCCCGGGCCGGGAGGCGAUGUGUAGGCUGCGACCCCCGCCCCCCCAGAGCAGGCUCGUUCCCGCGGCCGCCCGCCGGGGCCACCCUGGCCGCGGGCCCGCCGGGACGCCCCUGCUCGCCGCGCCCCUCCCCGGGCCGUGGCGCGUCCCCCGAGUCUCGCAGUAUUUCCUUCCUGCACCUUUAAGAAGACCGCUGCUCCGUGGUGGGAUGGUGUGUUAAAGCCACACAGAGGAAGUUACGCAGCCCGGAUCAGACCGGGAGAUAAAAGCCCCGAUGGUGAUCGUGAGUGAUGGCAAGAGGAUUUAGCCUCAGCAUUAACUUGGAGCGGAGUGCAGGGGGGCAGUGAAGCGCCCCGGCCAUCUGGCCCGCGCCGCGCCCCGGGGGGGGGGGAUGCCCCGGCGCCCCGACGAGCCGCCGCGAAGCCCACCCGGGCCGGGGGCUGCCCGGUGCCCGAGCGCGGGUCCUCUCAGAGCCGCCCAGGGGGCCCCAAAAGUUUGCACUUGUUAGCGGCGACCUCCGGCUCGGCCCCCGGCGGGCGAUGCAGGUGGCGCGGGCGGCCCCCUCCCCCGGCCCGCGUCUCCGGGACGGCUGCGGGCGGCCCCCCCGGCGGCCGGAGGGCUCCCCAGCCCCGAUCUGACAGCUACAGAGGCGGCGGGGGGAAGGAGCAGCGGCUCGCAGCCCUCGGCCUUCGCCCCCACCCAGCGCCAGCCAGACGGGGGAGGCAGAGCGCCGGAGGGUGGCGGCCUCCGGGGUCUCCGCUCCGGGAAGCCGCUCCGAGCCGGGGGCUUCGGUGACCGCGCAGGCUUUCCCGGGGCCCGGGAGCCACUUAACAGUAGCCCAGCCGAGGCUCGGAUGCAAAAGUUAUUGGUGGCGACUGCUACUAGCGGAGGACCGGAGUCGCUUGGAGAGGGGUGUGUGAGUGUGCGUUUGUAGCAGCAUCUUAAAGGAGUAGCUUGUCUUUCGGG
This is a long non-coding RNA of Ovis aries (sheep), 1216 nucleotides long. Lineage: Eukaryota; Metazoa; Chordata; Mammalia; Artiodactyla; Bovidae. The record is from Ensembl.